GUCGUUUUGUAUGUGGCCCACAUGGAUCGAACCAGCACGCAUGUGGGUCACUUGGUAAAAACACGACAAGAAGUUCCGACGGUCGAAUUUUUAUUCUUAUCUUUGGGAGCCUCCUCAUCCCGUUGGCUUUGAUCCAUUCGAGGAAACUCCCUUCAUGCUCUCGGGAGGCUCCGCUUUCUCGCUUGCGGCGCUCUUUCUUUCACGCGAUCGUCGGCUCGCGGAGCAAAGUCAGAUCUUUUCUUAACCUCUCGCUUGAUUUUAUUUACAGUCGUUGCUGCUGAUUCUUGCGAUCGCACACGGGUUUGAUCUCCAAGAAGGUGAGCACUAGGACUCCUUUAGCAGGCAAUAGGCAACAUCAUGUGAAGCCUGGACUUUCUGGCUAAAACCCUUUGGAUUCUGUUUCUGACUCGGAACUCGACCUAAACAGCAAGCCCACUAAAUCUUUGCGGUCGACAAGUCAAAAUUUAAGAACCAUCAAUUUGGCGAUAAUGAAGAUCAAGGAAUAGGGACAGCUUCUGCACCAUCCUGGGGAUUCUCAGAUGCAAAAGACAGAUACAAGUAUGACUUUCGUGAUUCAGGUGGCAUUGAGAACCAAUCAGUUCAUGAAUCGGAACAUUAUGCUGUGUACAAGGCUGAGGAGACCCCAAAUAAACUAAAUGGCUGUCUGUCUAAGAAUUGCCGAAGAAAUUAGAGAAGAUGCUUCAAAAACUCUUGUUAUCUUGCAUCAACAAGGCGAGCGGAUUACUAGGACUCAUCGAACUGCUGCAGACAUUGAGCAUGACCUUAGUAGGGUAUGCUUUUCCCUGGUCGCAUAUUUAGUCACCAUGAUGCUAAAUUAAUUUAAUGUAGGCAUACCUAAAUUAACUUGUAACUUGUGUUACAUGAUAUUGUAGAUAAAUUAAUUUGCAGCACUACAGCAGCAAUAUCAGAAUUAAACUGAUAUGUAGGUUGUAUUAGAUGAUCUUGUAUGCUUUGCUUGCUCAUAACCAUCAGUUAUAAGGUCAA
Molecule: long non-coding RNA, 1005 nt
Organism: Musa acuminata AAA Group (dessert banana)
Lineage: Eukaryota; Viridiplantae; Streptophyta; Magnoliopsida; Zingiberales; Musaceae
Exons: 2
Source: RefSeq, a predicted model, not a curated record